AUGCGUCUUCUUUCUCCAGCAUUCAAGUUCCAUUUCAAGGGAGGACGAUGUACCAUGAUACUUUCUGUUUUGUCGAGCCCUGCUUUGGUCUCUGGUUUGAUGGUUGCACGUGCUAAAAAUCCGGUACAUUCCGUUUUGUUUCCCAUCCUAGUCUUUUGCGACACUUCUGGUUUACUUAUUUUGUUAGGUCUCGACUUCUCCGCUAUGAUCUCCCCAGUAGUUCAUAUAGGAGCUAUUGUCGUUUCAUUCCUAUUCAUGGUUAUGAUGUUCAAUAUUCAAAUAGCGGAGAUUCACGAAGAAGUAUUGCGCUAUUUACCAGUGAGUGGUAUUAUUGGACUGAUCUUUUGGUGGGAAAUGUUCUUCAUUUUAGAUAAUGAAACCAUUCCAUUACUACCAACCCACAUAAAUACGACCUCUCUGAGAUAUACGGUUUAUGCCAGAAAGGUACGAAGUUGGACUAAUUUGGAAACAUUGGGCAAUUUACUUUAUACCUACUAUUCCGUCUGGUUUUUGGUUUCUAGUCUGAUUUUAUUAGUUGCUAUGAUUGGGGCUAUAGUACUUACUAUGCAUAGGACUACAAAGGUGAAAAGACAGGAUGUAUUCCGACGAAAUGCCUUGGAUUCUAGGAGCCAUGUAAUGAACAGGACUAUUUCUCCUUUUGGCCAUAGCCAUAGAAGAAGCUUCUCCUCCGGAGUGGGGGGACCGCCUGACAAUUACAAAGAAACCUUUAAAAUGUGGAUCUAG
RNAcentral lists this ribosomal RNA (744 nucleotides) under Triticum aestivum (bread wheat). Its description in RNAcentral is "partial small subunit ribosomal RNA". Lineage: Eukaryota; Viridiplantae; Streptophyta; Magnoliopsida; Poales; Poaceae. The record is from RNAcentral.